AGGCCCUGUUCGUUUCCCUGUCGC
This 24-nucleotide non-coding RNA is filed under the name Arabidopsis thaliana (thale cress). The record is from RNAcentral. Lineage: Eukaryota; Viridiplantae; Streptophyta; Magnoliopsida; Brassicales; Brassicaceae.